This 492-nucleotide ribosomal RNA is filed under the name uncultured bacterium. RNAcentral describes it as "partial 16S ribosomal RNA". It matches the Rfam family "Bacterial small subunit ribosomal RNA", at positions 29 to 507 of the family's 1533-position model. The record is from RNAcentral.
AGUGAACGCUGGCGGUAGGCCUAACACAUGCAAGUCGAACGGCAGCACAGUAAGAGCUUGCUCUUACGGGUGGCGAGUGGCGGACGGGUGAGGAAUACAUCGGAAUCUACUUUUUCGUGGGGGAUAACGUAGGGAAACUUACGCUAAUACCGCAUACGACCUACAGGUGAAAGCAGGGGAUCUUCGGACCUUGCGCGAUUGAAUGAGCCGAUGUCGGAUUAGCUAGUUGGCGGGGUAAAGGCCCACCAAGGCGACGAUCCGUAGCUGGUCUGAGAGGAUGAUCAGCCACACUGGAACUGAGACACGGUCCAGACUCCUACGGGAGGCAGCAGUGGGGAAUAUCGGACAAUGGGCGCAAGCCUGAUCCAGCCAUACCGCGUGGGUGAAGAAGGCCUUCGGGUUGUAAAGCCCUUUUGUUGGGAAAGAAAAGCAGCAGGUUAAUACCCCGCUGUUCUGACGGUACCCAAAGAAUAAGCACCGGCUAACUUCGUG